Long non-coding RNA from Pseudophryne corroboree (corroboree frog), 328 nucleotides. RefSeq lists it as uncharacterized. The record is from RefSeq and is a predicted model, not a curated record. NCBI's taxonomy places the organism in Eukaryota, Metazoa, Chordata, Amphibia, Anura, Myobatrachidae. The transcript has 3 exons.
UCAGUCCUCAAGGUUGCAGACAGGACAUUUCACAUUCCAGGCAUGGAGCCUGCCUUUCCAAAUAAAACUUGCAGCUCUCCCCCAAGACAAACAGGAGCAAAUAUUUUCCAAUCUCAGCAAUUUUGCAAGGGGGCCAUCCGACUGCGGACUCAAGGCGCUUAUCAAACCUUCUAUGGUGGACAGGUGGAAAAGAUGCACAUAGCAACCAUCAACUUCUACUGUAGCAACCAUUUAAUAGAGUGUACUUGAUAAAUCACUGGUUGCUAUCGGUAAUGUCUCCCCAUACAAAUGUUUUCUUUAAAUGAAAAGCUUAAUAAAAUAUUUGUUG